ACGAACGCUGGCGGCGUGCCUAAUACAUGCAAGUCGAACGGUCUUUCUAUGGAAGCUUGCUUCCGCUGAGAAGAUAGUGGCGAACGGGUGAGUAACACGUGGGUAACCUGCCCAUAAGAGGGGGAUAACAUCCGGAAACGGGUGCUAAUACCGCAUAGUUUUCUUGAUCGCAUGAUCGGGAAAGGAAAGACGGCCUUUGUGCUGUCGCUUAUGGAUGGACCCGCGGCGUAUUAGUUAGUUGGUGAGGUAACGGCUCACCAAGACGAUGAUACGUAGCCGACCUGAGAGGGUGAUCGGCCACAUUGGGACUGAGACACGGCCCAAACUCCUACGGGAGGCAGCAGUAGGGAAUCUUCCGCAAUGGACGAAAGUCUGACGGAGCAACGCCGCGUGAGUGAAGAAGGUUUUCGGAAUCGUAAAACUCUGUUGUCAGAGAAGAACAAGUUGGAGAGUAACUGCUCCAGCCUUGACGGUAUCUGACCAGAAAGCCACGGCUAACUACGUGCCAGCAGCAGC
Molecule: ribosomal RNA, 516 nt
Filed under: uncultured bacterium
Lineage: Bacteria
Description: bacterial SSU rRNA
Rfam family: Bacterial small subunit ribosomal RNA
Source: RNAcentral